RNAcentral lists this unclassified non-coding RNA (296 nucleotides) under Hevea brasiliensis (rubber tree). The record is from RNAcentral. Lineage: Eukaryota; Viridiplantae; Streptophyta; Magnoliopsida; Malpighiales; Euphorbiaceae.
ACCUGCAAACGAAUUCCACAUUCAACAUCUUUAUUUUAUAUAUACAAUCGAGAUUUUAACUUUGAAGAAGUUCCAAUGGUGCUGACAUCUUAAGUAGAUAUAAAUUCUCAAAAAUUGUUUACAUGUGUUUAAGGAGAUACACUUUUGAUUUGUAGUUCAAUUGCCAAACAAAAUAGAUGUUCACUACCGUCGGAGACAAAUUGUGCAUACCAGCAUCUACAUUCUCACAGAUGGCACAUGCUGACAUCAUAAGUAGAUAAUAUAGAUUCUCAAAAAUUGUUUGCAUGUCUUUAUGU